AGUGGCGGACGGGUGAGUAACACGUGGGUAACCUGCCCUAUGGAGGGGGAUAACACAGAGAAAUCUGUGCUAAUACCGCAUAAUGUAGUUUGAUCGCAUGGUUAGACUAUCAAAGAUUUAUUACCAUAGGAUGGACCCGCGGCCCAUUAGCUAGUUGGUGAGGUAACGGCCCACCAAGGCGACGAUGGGUAGCCGACCUGAGAGGGUGAACGGCCACAUUGGAACUGAGACACGGUCCAGACUCCUACGGGAGGCAGCAGUGGGGAAUAUUGCACAAUGGGGGAAACCCUGAUGCAGCAACGCCGCGUGAGUGACGAAGGCCUUCGGGUUGUAAAACUCUGUCUUAGCUGACGAUAAUGACGGUAAGCUAGGAGGAAGCCACGGCUAACUACGUGCCAGCAGCCGCGGUAAUACGUAGGUGGCAAGCGUUGUCCGGAUUUACUGGGCGUAAAGGGAGCGUAGGCGGUUUUUUAAGUGGGAUGUGAAAUCCCCGGGCUUAACCCGGGAAUUGCAUUCCAAACUGGAAGACUAGAGUGCAGGAGAGGAAAGUGGAAUUCCAAGUGUAGCGGUGAAAUGCGUAGAGAUUUGGAGGAACACCAGUGGCGAAGGCGACUUUCUGGACUGUAACUGACGCUGAGGCUCGAGAGCGUGGGGAGCAAACAGGAUUAGAUACCCUGGUAGUCCACGCUGUAAACGAUGAAUACUAGG
RNAcentral lists this ribosomal RNA (708 nucleotides) under uncultured bacterium. Its description in RNAcentral is "bacterial SSU rRNA". It matches the Rfam family "Bacterial small subunit ribosomal RNA", at positions 94 to 820 of the family's 1533-position model. The record is from RNAcentral.